AACCAACGCCAUACACUUCUCUCUGUAUACACUUCCUUCUUGGACUACUUAAUUCAUCUACACGGUUCCUCCUCUUUGUUCCUGCCUUGUAAAUUUUCUUGUAUCUUUUCCAACCAACCACUUUUCCCAUCAUUUAGUCACACAUAAUUCUAGACUCGACUAUGUUGAAAGGAAAAGCUGCGAUCGGCGGCACAGAUAUGGUUGAUUCCAUGCAACAAGAUGCGCUUAAUCUGGCUGCCAAAGCACUGGAAAUCUUUCAAGUCGGGGAAUCCAGAGAUAUAGCCCGUUUCAUCAAGAAGGAAUUUGACAAAACCUAUGGACCGGGGUGGCAAUGCAUCGUGGGGACUGAUUUUGGUUCGUUUGUGACUCAUUGUUAUGGCAGUUUCAUUCACUUCAAUAUCGGCAAUCUUGCCAUUUUGCUCUUCAGGGGUUCUGCUGGCCCCGAAGCUGAAGCCGAGGCCGUGGCAGAUCAUGUUGAAGCUUUGUAAGACUGUAAGAGAUUGCACAAGCAUCACCACUCACGUUUCUUGCUGCUUCUAGUGUUCCGUAUGCUGGUUUUAAUUGUGUGGAGUACAUUCAAAUUAAUUUCAGUGUUGGACAUUUCAUUUUGGUUA
Daucus carota subsp. sativus is the source of this 614-nucleotide RNA transcript. RefSeq lists it as uncharacterized. Lineage: Eukaryota; Viridiplantae; Streptophyta; Magnoliopsida; Apiales; Apiaceae. The transcript is spliced from 2 exons. The record is from RefSeq and is a predicted model, not a curated record.